AUGAGGCGAGCGAGCACCAGUGUGAAGCAGCUGUGUGGUGUGAUCACAAGACGAGGCUCACAGGAAGAGGCUGUUUGCGAUAUUUCAUCUGUUUUUCCAUAUUUUAAACAAGGAUUCCCUCAGUUCCAGAUCUAUGUAUAUACAUUUUUCUGAAGCAUAUUAUUCACAACUUUCUAAUCAGGUGUGGAAACCAUUCCAGAAAGAUAGAGAGGGUCCCAGACGGAUCCAGAGAUCUGCUAACCUGUCUUGCUGUUUGCUUGUGAAAGCCUGGCUGAUUCUUGGAGCAAACAGGAAUCCUUCUGGUAGAGGGACGAGUUACUGCCCCGGUUGCUGAGUCUGUACUGCAAACAGUGGUGGAGCACCUGUUGUGGGUUCGGCACUGAGCUACAGGUAAGAGUUGGUUAAAGGAUAAACAAGACACAUUCCUUGCCUUUGGCGGCUCACAGUCCAGUGGAAGAGACAGUCACGUAACCAGGCAACCACGAUAUACGAAGUGAUGGUUCUAAGACAGGUGCUGCUGAUGAAAGUGCUACAGGAGUUGGUCUGACGUCUUUGGGAAGGACAAGACAGCAUGCCCACGGAGUUACCAUGUCCCAGUGCUGUUCUUUCCUCCUGAUGGAAAGGGUAUGUAUUCCGGAUGACCACUCUCAAGAUCUGAAUGUACACUGGUUCUGUUUUUCCUGAGGGCAACGUGGGCAGUCUGUAGGGUGGCAUUAACCAGAUGAGGCUUCAAGAGCACCCUUUCAUCAGGGACGCAACAGUAGAGUUGUAUUCAUUCAUUCGACAUAUUUUUGGAGCAUGUGCUUAUUGCCAUGUACUGUGCUGGGUAGGUGCGGAGCAUCCAGUGACAAGACUAUACGGCUCCUUACUCCACGGGGCUGCUGUUCUCCACUGUACGGAAAUUCCGCUCUCCCCUCUCAAGGCACAGGUUGUGCUUUGUACACCAUUAAAAGGAACAUCAACUAAAGGAAAACUGUUGUUUCCUCUCUACCCACAGAACACUUCUGACACCAGAUGUGUGGGGGUUUCUACACCAAGCAAUUCUCCAGUUCUCAGUGAACACUGACUGCGUAUUCUACAGUUUCACUCCAUUCCAAACCCAACUGCCCAGGGUUAGCACAGACCCCUCAGGUUAAGGGCUCAGUCUCACAGGAUUUCCCCAGACUUCAGAUGCUAAUUAUAAGACCCCAAUUGUCACCUAUAAUUCUGACCAACUGGCUAUAAAUUGAGCUUUCCCAUGACCCCCUCCUCAGGUUUGAUAAUUUGCUAGAAAGGCACACAGCACUCAGAAAAACACUUUACUUACAUUUACUGGUUUAUUGUAAAGGAUACAACUCAAGAACAGCCAGAUGGAAGUGACACAUAGGGCAAGGUUUGGGGGUGGGGGCAGGGAUUGGAGCCUCCCUCCCAGCACCUCAGUACGUUCGCUGCUCUGGAAGCUCUCCAGGCUCCAUAGUUCAGGGGUUUUAUGGAGACUCCGCUAUGCAGGCAUGAUUGACUAAACCACUGACCUAUAGUGAUUAAGCCCAUCUCCUGCCCCUCUCCCCUCCCUGGAGGUCAGGGGUGAGUCUGGAAGCUCCAACACUCUAAUUACAUGCUUGGAUCCUCUGGCAACCAGCGUCCGUCCUCCAAGAGUUGCCUCAUUAGCAUAAACUCUAGUAUGGUUAAAAGGGGCUUAUUAUGAAUAACAAGAGAUGCUCCUGUCACCCCUUUGUUCAAGAAAUUCCAAGGGUUUUAGGAGCUCUGUGCCAAGAACCAAGGAGGAAGACCAAAAUAUAUAUUUCUUAUUAUAUCACAACCAUGCAGUCUCAGCAUUCAGCGCUGGGCCUUGCAAAAAGCAGCCCCUCCAUACCUUUGUGAGUAGACACAGGAAAGCAGAAUGAAGGAAAGAGGGGUCAGCAACAAAAAAACAAACAACCCGGUUCAACAGUGGGCAGAGCAUCUGAACAGACAUCUUCCCAAAGAAGACAUACAGAUGGCCAACAGGCACCUGAAAAGAUGUUCAGCAUCACUAAUUAUUAGGGAAAUGUAAAUUAAAUAAAAAAUGAGAUCUCA
Molecule: long non-coding RNA, 2055 nt
Organism: Equus asinus (donkey)
Lineage: Eukaryota; Metazoa; Chordata; Mammalia; Perissodactyla; Equidae
Source: Ensembl